GAUGAAGAACGUAGUGAAAUGCGAUAAGUAAUGUGAAUUGCAGAAUUCAGUGAAUCAUCGAAUCUUUGAACGCACAUUGCGCCCGCCAGUAUUCUGGCGGGCAUGCCUGUUCGAGCGUCAUUUCAACCAUCAAGCUCUGCUUGCGUUGGGGAUCCGCGGCUGCCCGCGGUCCCUCAAAACCAGUGGCGGGCUCGCUAGUCACACCGAGCGUAGUAACUUUACAUCGCUAUGGUCGUGCGGCGGGUGCUUGCCGUAAAACCCCCCAAUUUUUAAGGUUGACCUCGGAUCAGGUAGGAAUACUCGCUGAACUUAAGCAUAUCAAUAAGCGGAGGA
RNAcentral lists this unclassified non-coding RNA (333 nucleotides) under soil metagenome. RNAcentral describes it as "partial contains 5.8S ribosomal RNA, internal transcribed spacer 2, and large subunit ribosomal RNA". The stretch from base 1 to 120 matches the Rfam family "5.8S ribosomal RNA", at positions 35 to 154 of the family's 154-position model. The record is from RNAcentral.